CCUACGGGAGGCAGCAGUAGGGAAUCUUCCACAAUGGGCGAAAGCCUGAUGGAGCAACGCCGCGUGAGUGAUGAAGGCCUUCGGGUUGUAAAACUCUGUCAUUCGGGACGAACCGGAGUCUGAGGAAAUGCAGACUCUCUGACGGUACCGGAGGAGGAAGCCCCGGCUAACUACGUGCCAGCAGCCGCGGUAAUACGUAGGGGGCAAGCGUUGUCCGGAUUCACUGGGCGUAAAGCGCGCGCAGGCGGUGAUGUAAGUCUGAGGUGAAAACCCGAAGCUCAACUUCGGGACUGCCUUGGAUACUGCGUCACUUGAGGAUAGGAGAGGCAAGGGGAAUUCCACGUGUAGCGGUGAAAUGCGUAGAGAUGUGGAGGAACACCUGUGGCGAAGGCGCCUUGCUGGCCUAUUUCUGACGCUGAGGCGCGAAAGCGUGGGGAGCAAACAGGAUUAGAUACCCUGGUAGUCCACGCUGUAAACGAUGAGUGCUAGGUGUAGGUGGGCUCAUACCACUCUGUGCGAGACUACGCAUAAGCACNCCGCCCGUCGGGAGGUACGGUCGCGAGACGUAGAACGUACAAUAGAAGUUAGUUACGGCGUUGAGGACGUUGCCGACGGACGACGACGAGGGGAGGUAGGG
RNAcentral lists this ribosomal RNA (637 nucleotides) under uncultured bacterium. Its description in RNAcentral is "bacterial SSU rRNA". The stretch from base 1 to 541 matches the Rfam family "Bacterial small subunit ribosomal RNA", at positions 338 to 873 of the family's 1533-position model. The record is from RNAcentral.